GACGAACGCUGGCGGCGUGCUUAACACAUGCAAGUCGAACGGAAAGGCCCUGCUUUUGUGGGGUGCUCGAGUGGCGAACGGGUGAGUAACACGUGAGUAACCUGCCCUUGACUUUGGGAUAACUUCAGGAAACUGGGGCUAAUACCGGAUAGGAGCUCCUGCUGCAUGGUGGGGGUUGGAAAGUUUCGGCGGUUGGGGAUGGACUCGCGGCUUAUCAGCUUGUUGGCGGGGUAGUGGCUUACCAAGGCUUUGACGGGUAGCCGGCCUGAGAGGGUGACCGGCCACAUUGGGACUGAGAUACGGCCCAGACUCCUACGGGAGGCAGAAGUGGGGAAUAUUGCACAAUGGGCGGAAGCCUGAUGCAGCAACGCCGCGUGCGGGAUAACGGCCUUCGGGUUGUAAACCGCUUUCGCCUGUGACGAAGCGUGAGUGACGGUAAUGGGUAAAGAAGCACCGGCUAACUACGUG
RNAcentral lists this ribosomal RNA (468 nucleotides) under uncultured bacterium. RNAcentral's name for it is "partial 16S ribosomal RNA". It matches the Rfam family "Bacterial small subunit ribosomal RNA", at positions 28 to 507 of the family's 1533-position model. The record is from RNAcentral.